GACGAACGCUGGCGGCGUGCUUAACACAUGCAAGUCGAACGGAAAGGCCCUGCUUUUGUGGGGUGCUCGAGUGGCGAACGGGUGAGUAACACGUGAGUAACCUGCCCUUGACUUUGGGAUAACUUCGGGAAACUGGGGCUAAUACCGGAUAGGAGCUCCUGCUGCAUGGUGGGGGUUGGAAAGUUUCGGCGGUUGGGGAUGGACUCGCGGCUUAUCAGCUUGUUGGUGGGGUAGUGGCUUACCAAGGCUUUGACGGGUAGCCGGCCUGAGAGGGUGACCGGCCACAUUGGGACUGAGAUACGGCCCAGACUCCUACGGGAGGCAGCAGUGGGGAAUAUUGCGCAAUGGGCGGAAGCCUGAUGCAGCAACGCCGCGUGCGGGAUGACGGCCUUCGGGUUGUAAACCGCUUUCGCCUGUGACGAAGCGUGAGUGACGGUAAUGGGUAAAGAAGCACCGGCUAACUACGUG
RNAcentral lists this ribosomal RNA (468 nucleotides) under uncultured bacterium. RNAcentral describes it as "partial 16S ribosomal RNA". It matches the Rfam family "Bacterial small subunit ribosomal RNA", at positions 28 to 507 of the family's 1533-position model. The record is from RNAcentral.